UACGAGGGGGGCAAAUGUUGUUCGGAAUCACUGGGCGUAAAGGGAGCGUAGGCGGGCUCUUAAGUUAGGUGUUUAAUCCCGGGGCCCAACCCCGGUCGUGCACUUAAAACUGGGAGUCUUGAAUAGUGGAGAGGUCAGUGGAAUUGGGGGUGUAGCGGUGGAAUGCGCAGAUAUCAGGAGGAACACCAAUAGCGAAGGCAGCUCGCUGGGACGGUAUUGACGCUAAGGCGCGAAAGCGUGGGGAGCAAACAGG
RNAcentral lists this ribosomal RNA (253 nucleotides) under uncultured bacterium. Its description in RNAcentral is "partial 16S ribosomal RNA". It matches the Rfam family "Bacterial small subunit ribosomal RNA", at positions 524 to 776 of the family's 1533-position model. The record is from RNAcentral.